This 68-nucleotide transfer RNA is filed under the name Marmota monax (woodchuck). RNAcentral's name for it is "tRNA.Ala". The record is from RNAcentral. Lineage: Eukaryota; Metazoa; Chordata; Mammalia; Rodentia; Sciuridae.
GGAUUGUGGCUCAGCUGUAGAGUACUCGCCUAGCACGAGGAAGGCCCUGGGUUCAAUCCUCAGCACCA